RNAcentral lists this transfer RNA (93 nucleotides) under Bacillus cereus. RNAcentral's name for it is "tRNA-Ser". It matches the Rfam family "tRNA". From Rfam's summary of the family: Transfer RNA (tRNA) molecules are approximately 80 nucleotides in length. Their secondary structure includes four short double-helical elements and three loops (D, anti-codon, and T loops). Further hydrogen bonds mediate the characteristic L-shaped molecular structure. tRNAs have two regions of fundamental functional importance: the anti-codon, which is responsible for specific mRNA codon recognition, and the 3' end, to which the tRNAs corresponding amino acid is attached (by aminoacyl-tRNA synthetases). tRNAs cope with the degeneracy of the genetic code in two manners: having more than one tRNA (with a specific anti-codon) for a particular amino acid; and 'wobble' base-pairing, i.e. permitting non-standard base-pairing at the 3rd anti-codon position. Lineage: Bacteria; Bacillati; Bacillota; Bacilli; Caryophanales; Bacillaceae. The record is from RNAcentral.
GGAGAGUUGCUAGAGUCUGGUAUUAGUGCGACUUCGAAAGUCGAUGACUACGUUAGUAACGUAGCGGGGGUUCGAAUCCCUCACUCUCCGCCA